GACGAACGCUGGCGGCGUGCUUAACACAUGCAAGUCGAGCGGUAAGGCCCUUUCGGGGGUACACGAGCGGCGAACGGGUGAGUAACACGUGGGUGACCUGCCCUCAGCUCUGGGAUAAGCCUGGGAAACCGGAUCUAAUACUGGAUAUGACUCCAUGACGCAUGUUGUGGGGUGGAAAGCCUUGUGCGGCUGAGGAUGGGCCCGCGGCCUAUCAGCUUGUUGGUGGGGUGAUGGCCUACCAAGGCGACGACGGGUAGCCGGCCUGAGAGGGCGACCGGCCACACUGGGACUGAGACACGGCCCAGACUCCUACGGGAGGCAGCAGUGGGGAAUCUUGCGCAAUGGGCGAAAGCCUGACGCAGCGACGCCGCGUGAGGGAUGACGGCCUCGGUGU
This 394-nucleotide ribosomal RNA is filed under the name uncultured bacterium. RNAcentral's name for it is "bacterial SSU rRNA". It matches the Rfam family "Bacterial small subunit ribosomal RNA", at positions 28 to 423 of the family's 1533-position model. The record is from RNAcentral.